Long non-coding RNA from Mauremys mutica (yellowpond turtle), 354 nucleotides. RefSeq lists it as uncharacterized. The transcript has 3 exons. NCBI's taxonomy places the organism in Eukaryota, Metazoa, Chordata, Testudines, Geoemydidae. The record is from RefSeq and is a predicted model, not a curated record.
CCAGUGUUGUCUGCUUUUACAGUAAAGCCCAGGCUUUGAGCUCCACACAGCAGAAGUUUAGAAUUUAGGGUGAAUGUGGUCCGAUACAAAAAAGGGAACCGAAACAGAAGAGUGAGAGAAUUAAUAUACGUUGACAAAUGUACAGUUUUUCUUGCAAGGAACUCAAAAACACUUUACAAACGUUAAUUCAUGUUCUACAUACCUUAGAGCUAAAGAGGAAUUAUACCAAUUUUACAGAAGAAUAAACUGAGAUUCAGAGGAGUUGGAUGACUUGUUCAAGGCCACACAACUCAAUGAAAGAGGCAAAAAUAGAACACAAGAAUAUUAACUCCCAAUGUCCUGUUACAACUUCCA